UACCGAGGUCUCAAGCGUUGUUCGGAUUCAUUGGGCGUAAAGGGUGCGUAGGUGGCGGGGUAAGUCAGGUGUGAAAUCUCGGGGCUCAACCCCGAAACUGCAUUUGAUACUGCCUUGCUCGAGUACUGGAGAGGAGAUUGGAAUUUACGGUGUAGCAGUGAAAUGCGUAGAUAUCGUAAGGAAGACCAGUGGCGAAGGCGAAUCUCUGGACAGUUACUGACACUGAGGCACGAAGGCCAGGGGAGCAAACGGG
RNAcentral lists this ribosomal RNA (253 nucleotides) under uncultured bacterium. RNAcentral's name for it is "partial 16S ribosomal RNA". It matches the Rfam family "Bacterial small subunit ribosomal RNA", at positions 524 to 776 of the family's 1533-position model. The record is from RNAcentral.